Molecule: ribozyme, 116 nt
Filed under: Aedes aegypti (yellow fever mosquito)
Lineage: Eukaryota; Metazoa; Arthropoda; Insecta; Diptera; Culicidae
Description: drz-agam-1 ribozyme
Rfam family: drz-agam-1 ribozyme
Source: Rfam by way of RNAcentral
UGCCCAGCAACUCCUAUCCCUACCUCCUCGUGGUACUGACCGGGGUACGAGUAACCUUAGAGAAGAUCGGGUAACCAACCCCGGUGUGAACUUUGGUGGUAUGCUGACAGGGAAGG